This 253-nucleotide ribosomal RNA is filed under the name uncultured bacterium. RNAcentral's name for it is "partial 16S ribosomal RNA". It matches the Rfam family "Bacterial small subunit ribosomal RNA", at positions 524 to 776 of the family's 1533-position model. The record is from RNAcentral.
UACGAAGGGGGCUAGCGUUGUUCGGAAUUACUGGGCGUAAAGGGCGCGUAGGCUGUGCUGUAAGUCAGGCGUGAAAUCCCCGGGCUCAACCUGGGAAUUGCGCAUGAUACUGCGGCGCUUGAAGACGGGAGAGGAUGGCGGAAUUCCCAGUGUAGAGGUGAAAUGCGUAGAUAUGGGGAAGAACACCGGUGGCGAAGGCGGCCAUCUGGACCGGCACUGACGCUGAGGCGCGAAAGCCAGGGGAGCAAACGGG